RNAcentral lists this long non-coding RNA (421 nucleotides) under Bos taurus (domestic cattle). Its description in RNAcentral is "long non-coding RNA NONBTAT021584". Lineage: Eukaryota; Metazoa; Chordata; Mammalia; Artiodactyla; Bovidae. The record is from RNAcentral.
UUUUUGUAACUGCGAGCAAGGGCUGUUCCCAGUGGUGAUCAGGCUGCAGUUUGUGGUUGUCAGGUCAUCGUGCUGAACACCUUGGACGCACACAGUGGCCAAGUGUCACUCACCCUCAGUAAAACCGAGAAUGUGUCUGCUGGUUGACAACGGAACAUAUCCAUUCUAUAUGGCCGGUCUCGAACCUCCAAAUGCACAUUUACGUGUGCAGACACGUGAACUGAGGUCCGGCGGCCACUAGCUCCCACCACCAUACAGAAAAAGAGCACGAUGCACCCGCCUUGCGGGAACUGCUACUGGAAGAAGUCACUGGCUGCCAACUUGAUGGCCUUCUCCACAGUGAACAAGGUCAGGUCACUGCCCCCCAGAAGGGAAUGGUGAGGGUUGGGGGCAUCUGCAGCCACAGGGACCAGCUCCAGCC